UCCCUGGUGGCUCAGACGGUAAAGCAUCUGCCUACAAUGCCAGAGACCCAGGUUCGAACCCUGGAUGGGGAA
This 72-nucleotide transfer RNA is filed under the name Bos taurus (domestic cattle). It matches the Rfam family "tRNA". From Rfam's summary of the family: Transfer RNA (tRNA) molecules are approximately 80 nucleotides in length. Their secondary structure includes four short double-helical elements and three loops (D, anti-codon, and T loops). Lineage: Eukaryota; Metazoa; Chordata; Mammalia; Artiodactyla; Bovidae. RNAcentral also lists the same sequence under 2 other names. The record is from Rfam by way of RNAcentral.